This 497-nucleotide ribosomal RNA is filed under the name uncultured bacterium. Its description in RNAcentral is "partial 16S ribosomal RNA". It matches the Rfam family "Bacterial small subunit ribosomal RNA", at positions 28 to 507 of the family's 1533-position model. The record is from RNAcentral.
GAUGAACGCUGGCGGCGUGCCUAAUACAUGCAAGUCGAGCGAACAGACGAGGAGCUUGCUCCUCUGACGUUAGCGGCGGACGGGUGAGUAACACGUGGAUAACCUACCUAUAAGACUGGGAUAACUUCGGGAAACCGGAGCUAAUACCGGAUAAUAUAUUGAACCGCAUGGUUCAAUAGUGAAAGACGGUUUUGCUGUCACUUAUAGAUGGAUCCGCGCCUCAUUAGCUAGUUGGUAAGGUAACGGCUUACCAAGGCAACGAUGCGUAGCCGACCUGAGAGGGUGAUCCGCCACCCUGGAACUGAGACACGGUCCAGACUCCUACGGGAGGCAGCAGUGGGGAAUCUUCCGCAAUGGGCGAAAGCCUGACGGAGCAACGCCGCGUGAGUGAUGAAGGUCUUCGGAUCGUAGAACUCUGUUAUUAGGGAAGAACAAAUGUGUAAGUAACUAUGCACGUCUUGACGGUACCUAAUCAGAAAGCCACGGCUAACUACGUG